GACGAACCGUGCGAACGUUGUUCGGAAUCACUGGGCUUAAAGGGCGCGUAGGCGGGCUGACAAGUCUGGGGUGAAAUCCCGCGGCUCAACCGUGGAACUGCCUUAGGUACUGUCGGCCUCGAGGAAGGUAGGGGCAUGCGGAACUGUAGGUGGAGCGGUGAAAUGCGUUGAUAUCUACAGGAACUCCGGUGGCGAAAGCGGCGUGCUGGACCUUUUCUGACGCUGAGGCGCGAAAGCUAGGGGAGCAAACGGG
RNAcentral lists this ribosomal RNA (253 nucleotides) under uncultured bacterium. RNAcentral describes it as "partial 16S ribosomal RNA". It matches the Rfam family "Bacterial small subunit ribosomal RNA", at positions 524 to 776 of the family's 1533-position model. The record is from RNAcentral.